GGUUAAGCGACUAAGCGUACACGGUGGAUGCCCUGGCAGUCAGAGGCGAUGAAGGACGUGCUAAUCUGCGAUAAGCGUCGGUAAGGUGAUAUGAACCGUUAUAACCGGCGAUUUCCGAAUGGGGAAACCCAGUGUGUUUCGACACACUAUCAUUAACUGAAUCCAUAGGUUAAUGAGGCGAACCGGGGGAACUGAAACAUCUAAGUACCCCGAGGAAAAGAAAUCAACCGAGAUUCCCCCAGUAGCGGCGAGCGAACGGGGAGGAGCCCAGAGCCUGAAUCAGUAUGUGUGUUAGUGGAAGCGUCUGGAAAGGCGCGCGAUACAGGGUGACAGCCCCGUACACAAAAAUGCACAUAUUGUGAGCUCGAUGAGUAGGGCGGGACACGUGGUAUCCUGUCUGAAUAUGGGGGGACCAUCCUCCAAGGCUAAAUACUCCUGACUGACCGAUAGUGAACCAGUACCGUGAGGGAAAGGCGAAAAGAACCCCGGCGAGGGGAGUGAAAAAGAACCUGAAACCGUGUACGUACAAGCAGUGGGAGCACGCUUAGGCGUGUGACUGCGUACCUUUUGUAUAAUGGGUCAGCGACUUAUAUUCUGUAGCAAGGUUAACCGAAUAGGGGAGCCGAAGGGAAACCGAGUCUUAACUGGGCGUUAAGUUGCAGGGUAUAGACCCGAAACCCGGUGAUCUAGCCAUGGGCAGGUUGAAGGUUGGGUAACACUAACUGGAGGACCGAACCGACUAAUGUUGAAAAAUUAGCGGAUGACUUGUGGCUGGGGGUGAAAGGCCAAUCAAACCGGGAGAUAGCUGGUUCUCCCCGAAAGCUAUUUAGGUAGCGCCUCGUGAACUCAUCUCCGGGGGUAGAGCACUGUUUCGGCAAGGGGGUCAUCCCGACUUACCAACCCGAUGCAAACUGCGAAUACCGGAGAAUGUUAUCACGGGAGACACACGGCGGGUGCUAACGUCCGUCGUGAAGAGGGAAACAACCCAGACCGCCAGCUAAGGUCCCAAAGUCAUGGUUAAGUGGGAAACGAUGUGGGAAGGCCCAGACAGCCAGGAUGUUGGCUUAGAAGCAGCCAUCAUUUAAAGAAAGCGUAAUAGCUCACUGGUCGAGUCGGCCUGCGCGGAAGAUGUAACGGGGCUAAACCAUGCACCGAAGCUGCGGCAGCGACGCUUAUGCGUUGUUGGGUAGGGGAGCGUUCUGUAAGCCUGCGAAGGUGUGCUGUGAGGCAUGCUGGAGGUAUCAGAAGUGCGAAUGCUGACAUAAGUAACGAUAAAGCGGGUGAAAAGCCCGCUCGCCGGAAGACCAAGGGUUCCUGUCCAACGUUAAUCGGGGCAGGGUGAGUCGACCCCUAAGGCGAGGCCGAAAGGCGUAGUCGAUGGGAAACAGGUUAAUAUUCCUGUACUUGGUGUUACUGCGAAGGGGGGACGGAGAAGGCUAUGUUGGCCGGGCGACGGUUGUCCCGGUUUAAGCGUGUAGGCUGGUUUUCCAGGCAAAUCCGGAAAAUCAAGGCUGAGGCGUGAUGACGAGGCACUACGGUGCUGAAGCAACAAAUGCCCUGCUUCCAGGAAAAGCCUCUAAGCAUCAGGUAACAUCAAAUCGUACCCCAAACCGACACAGGUGGUCAGGUAGAGAAUACCAAGGCGCUUGAGAGAACUCGGGUGAAGGAACUAGGCAAAAUGGUGCCGUAACUUCGGGAGAAGGCACGCUGAUAUGUAGGUGAAGUCCCUCGCGGAUGGAGCUGAAAUCAGUCGAAGAUACCAGCUGGCUGCAACUGUUUAUUAAAAACACAGCACUGUGCAAACACGAAAGUGGACGUAUACGGUGUGACGCCUGCCCGGUGCCGGAAGGUUAAUUGAUGGGGUUAGCGCAAGCGAAGCUCUUGAUCGAAGCCCCGGUAAACGGCGGCCGUAACUAUAACGGUCCUAAGGUAGCGAAAUUCCUUGUCGGGUAAGUUCCGACCUGCACGAAUGGCGUAAUGAUGGCCAGGCUGUCUCCACCCGAGACUCAGUGAAAUUGAACUCGCUGUGAAGAUGCAGUGUACCCGCGGCAAGACGGAAAGACCCCGUGAACCUUUACUAUAGCUUGACACUGAACAUUGAGCCUUGAUGUGUAGGAUAGGUGGGAGGCUUUGAAGUGUGGACGCCAGUCUGCAUGGAGCCGACCUUGAAAUACCACCCUUUAAUGUUUGAUGUUCUAACGUUGACCCGUAAUCCGGGUUGCGGACAGUGUCUGGUGGGUAGUUUGACUGGGGCGGUCUCCUCCUAAAGAGUAACGGAGGAGCACGAAGGUUGGCUAAUCCUGGUCGGACAUCAGGAGGUUAGUGCAAUGGCAUAAGCCAGCUUGACUGCGAGCGUGACGGCGCGAGCAGGUGCGAAAGCAGGUCAUAGUGAUCCGGUGGUUCUGAAUGGAAGGGCCAUCGCUCAACGGAUAAAAGGUACUCCGGGGAUAACAGGCUGAUACCGCCCAAGAGUUCAUAUCGACGGCGGUGUUUGGCACCUCGAUGUCGGCUCAUCACAUCCUGGGGCUGAAGUAGGUCCCAAGGGUAUGGCUGUUCGCCAUUUAAAGUGGUACGCGAGCUGGGUUUAGAACGUCGUGAGACAGUUCGGUCCCUAUCUGCCGUGGGCGCUGGAGAACUGAGGGGGGCUGCUCCUAGUACGAGAGGACCGGAGUGGACGCAUCACUGGUGUUCGGGUUGUCAUGCCAAUGGCACUGCCCGGUAGCUAAAUGCGGAAGAGAUAAGUGCUGAAAGCAUCUAAGCACGAAACUUGCCCCGAGAUGAGUUCUCCCUGACUCCUUGAGAGUCCUGAAGGAACGUUGAAGACGACGACGUUGAUAGGCCGGGUGUGUAAGCGCAGCGAUGCGUUGAGCUAACCGGUACUAAUGAACCGUGAGGCUUAACCUU
Molecule: ribosomal RNA, 2904 nt
Filed under: Escherichia coli
Lineage: Bacteria; Pseudomonadati; Pseudomonadota; Gammaproteobacteria; Enterobacterales; Enterobacteriaceae
Description: 23S ribosomal RNA
Rfam family: Bacterial large subunit ribosomal RNA
Source: RNAcentral